UAAGGUUACUUGUUUUAUAGUUUUAUGAAAUGACCCCUUGAUUCAGGCUUUUGAUACAUUAAGAUUUUAUAACGCACGAUAUGUGCAAGGAGGUUUCAUAUUAUGAAACAAGGUACUGUUAAAUGGUUCAACGCUGAUAAAGGUUACGGUUUUAUCACUACUGAAGACGGUGACGUAUUCGUUCACUUCUCAGCUAUCAACAAAGAAGGUUUCAAGACUCUAGAAGAAGGCGAAAAGGUUACAUUGGACGUUGAAGACGGCGACCGUGGACCACAAGCUGCUAACGUUACUCCUGCAUAAGGAUAACCUCUUAGUUAACUUUUAGUUUAAAAAGAGAUCAAAACACCCGAGAUUUUCUCGGGUGUUUUUUA
Molecule: small RNA, 371 nt
Filed under: Apilactobacillus kunkeei
Lineage: Bacteria; Bacillati; Bacillota; Bacilli; Lactobacillales; Lactobacillaceae
Description: cspA
Rfam family: cspA thermoregulator
Source: RNAcentral